Molecule: ribosomal RNA, 499 nt
Filed under: uncultured Pelotomaculum sp.
Lineage: Bacteria; Bacillati; Bacillota; Clostridia; Eubacteriales; Desulfotomaculaceae
Description: bacterial SSU rRNA
Rfam family: Bacterial small subunit ribosomal RNA
Source: RNAcentral
AGUGGGGAAUCUUCCGCAAUGGGCGAAAGCCUGACGGAGCAACGCCGCGUGAGUGAAGAAAGCCUUCGGGUUGUAAAACUCUGUCUUCGGGGAAGAAAAAAAUGACGGUACCCGAGGAGGAAGCCCCGGCUAACUACGUGCCAGCAGCCGCGGUAAAACGUAGGGGGCAAGCGUUGUCCGGAAUUACUGGGCGUAAAGGGCGCGUAGGCGGCCUAUCAAGUCAGAGGUGAAAACUAUGAGCUCAACUCAUAGCUUGCCUAUGAAACUGGUAGACUUGAGAGCAGGAGAGGGAAGCGGAAUUCCCAGUGUAGCGGUGAAAUGCGUAGAUAUUGGGAGGAACACCAGUGGCGAAGGCGGCUUCCUGGCCUGUUACUGACGCUGAGGCGCGAAAGCGUGGGGAGCGAACGGGAUUAGAUACCCCGGUAGUCCACGCCGUAAACGAUGGGUGCUAGGUGUAGGAGGUAUCGACCCCUUCUGUGCCGUAGUUAACACAAUAAGC